UAGAAUGCAAGCGUUACUCACUUUAUGUACCGUUACCAUUUGCACAUGACUAAAUGUGAUACAAAUACUAGUCCUAGAAAGGCUAGUACACAUAUUUAUUCAACAGAUAGUUCAAAAGCCGCACAACUCUUUAGGAAACGGUCGGGUAACAUAGACCUAAAAGAGAUACAACACAAAUAGGCUGUAGAUGCAACCUAUGGACAUCCAAGUCCAUAAGCAGCAAGCAGCACCGCACGAUAGUGGAAGAAUCCUUAAUAGAUCAACGUCACAGGCAAGUUGGGUGUGGAGAGCUUCACCAGCAAUGUAGUCUGGGUCUUCCUCUGUAUCAACAAAGCAAGGGUGAGUACAUACGUACUUAGCAAAUCCAACCCCACCCUAUGGAAGGGGUAUAAGAAUACAUGCAUAAGGAUACUUAAGAAAUAGGUCGAGGUUAUUUUGCAGAAAGCAAUAUUUUAUACACAGACAAGGUUUGGUUUCAUAAAGCGAUUUUUGCAAGACACGUACUUUUCAUAUUACAAUAUUUAUGAAAGAGUGGGGUGAUCCUACACAAAGGAUCCAAAUUUUAAGUGCUACUGGACACCCGUCCACAGUAGCACGCAUCACACUUGCUGGAUAUUUCCAAAAUCCAAUUUACACCAAAAGGUUUGCCCAUCUUUCCCAAAUAUCUAGUUAUGUGACCAAGCUAUAACUUGUCCAAGACUAUGGACAUGGCUAUUCGAAUAGGUUUUAACUCUGCAGAGGUAUACACGUUACCCACAAGUAGGGUACCGCAACACGAUCACUGUAGUGCCGGUGCAGAUCCAUCAAAGCUAUUACCCACCAUAGCAUAGUCCUGCCUAGUCGCCCACAAACUAACCAAGGGGUCCUUGACCUUCCUACGAGGUCUUCAACCGGGCCACUAAUCCAAUACUUGCUUACGCCUGCUCCUUGGCCCCCCAUUGCGCACCUGCUAGUGGGAUUUAUGCUAAGCCUUUGCCACACACAAAGGUCGAGUGGUUGUACAAUAAGUUAGGUUAGGCAAGAUAACACAUCAACUUGGUCCUUAAUCAAGACAAGACAGAUAUCUUCCAUACUCAGUCACACAGGCACGAGCCAAUACUCCAAGGCGUCCUACACAAGGAACCCUAAUCCGCCCCAUCUAAAUAAUCACCAACACCAGUUGUUUAUUAUAAAAUCUCAAUCCAUACUCACACCAACACACUCAACAUAUUUUGUCUUUUGUAAAACCAUUGCAUUUGUAAAACGAGUAGUAAUGAUGUUGACUAAGCCUGUUAAUAUCAAGGUUAUCGGCUAAACAGAGUGUAUCAUGUCUAGCGAUAAAUCCUAUGUCAUUGAGGUAUAAUCAAGAUAUAUCAAUUCAAGGAGUGGCUAUCCAAAUGGGUUUUAACUAAAUCAAGUAGUAAAAUAAUCAUAUAUAUAACUGGAUGCAAUUUAUAAAAAGGCUUCUACAGGUUGUGUUUGAAGACUGAGAUAAAUAUGACCAAAAGGGAAUAGGUUGGACUUGCCAUCUUCAAAGCCUUAUGGAAGCUCCUGCUCGCGGUACGGGUCUUCUGGCUCUGGUUUGCAGUCUUGGCCUUCGUAUUCUAGCUCACGGUACUGGUCUCCAAACUCGUUCUCCUCCUCUGUCACUCCAUCGGCUCCAGCGACGAUGGUGUGAAAGAUAAAUGAACAAAACAAGCACAAACACAAAAUAAAAUGAGCUCAAACAGAGAGGAGAAUAGCUGGAUUAGAUAGAAUAUGAUUUUAGAGGAAUUUAGGAAAAAGAAUUAGUGGAAUCGGAGUUUAGAUGGGUGAGAUAUGGCUGUGUAAAAAUUGGCUACUAAUUAAAUUUCGAAAAUGAAUAAAAUAGCUUAAUUCCAGGAGGAGCUCAUGGCCUCUGGUUCACCCGUGAUGGGUUUGAGGUGCUGGUUUGGGCUAUGGUUUUAUUUUGAGCUAGUGAGGUACGUACAAGAGCAGCAAGGGUCCACAAUAGAAAUAACAAGGGGAGACGGGAGGUGAAGGAGCUUGUGCUCCUCAAGCUCGUCCGUCAUGGGAGGUGGUCGAAGCUCACUGGAGCUUCGCCGUAGGGUGAUUCCGGCCACCGCUUUCAAAUCCAAGGGCAUAGGGAGAGGGAGGAGAAUAAAGGGAGUCGGUUCGGGGUUCUUGGCUGGGGUGAGAGGGUGGAAGGAGGUCAGCCGCAGGAGGCGAUGGAUGCGGCUCUGGAGUUCUUGGGGAGCUUGAUGUAGGCAAGGAUAGGGAUGGUCGUUGCUUGGGUAGGGUUGGGGGAGGGUGUGGAGGUGCUUAUUGAUGAACUAAUCGAGCUGUGGUGGCUUGUCGUCAGAGAUUGAUGAGGAAGACCUUCCUCUACGCAAGAACAGAGGAGGGAGAAAUUGGAGCGAGGAGGGAGAUGAGCGGUGGAGCUGGGCGGCUCAGCGAGCUUGGGAUGGCAACGAAGAGCAAUUUAGGGUGGCUUUUAUAGGCGGUGAGGGUGGAGCUGUGGCAGCGGCUCAACCGCUCGCUUUUAAUGGCGCACUGUGGUCGGGUGUCGGCUUGUGAGCAGCAGCUUGCGACGAUGGUGGCGCUAAGGCAACGGCAUGGCAGAGGUGGGAGGUGGAGCAAGGUGACGUGCGUGCCUGCGGUGGUGCCACAGCGGGCGUCGGCUUGCUAUGGCGGUGGCGUUGAGGCGAUGGCGGUGUUGACGGCGCGCGCGACGAGGUGACAGGGCUG
Molecule: long non-coding RNA, 2706 nt
Filed under: Setaria italica (foxtail millet)
Lineage: Eukaryota; Viridiplantae; Streptophyta; Magnoliopsida; Poales; Poaceae
Description: long non-coding RNA (SITA_LNC005671)
Source: RNAcentral